ACGCAUAUUAGGCCUUCGUUGCUCCGCUUCCGGUUGUGAGCGCAAUUGGAGCACAUUUGAUUUUAUUCACACCAAGAAGAGGAAUAGACUAGAACAUCAGCGCUUGAAUGAUCUAGUCUAUAUCCAAUACAAUCGUCGGCUUCAUUCAAAGUUCCAAGAAAGAAGGGAAAAAGGCAGCAAUUGUGAUCCAUUAAUUUUUGAUGAAAUGAAUUGGAGUAAUGAAU
Molecule: long non-coding RNA, 224 nt
Organism: Macadamia integrifolia
Lineage: Eukaryota; Viridiplantae; Streptophyta; Magnoliopsida; Proteales; Proteaceae
Exons: 2
Source: RefSeq, a predicted model, not a curated record